This 338-nucleotide ribosomal RNA is filed under the name uncultured bacterium. RNAcentral describes it as "bacterial SSU rRNA". It matches the Rfam family "Bacterial small subunit ribosomal RNA", at positions 29 to 391 of the family's 1533-position model. The record is from RNAcentral.
AGCGAACGCUGGCGGCAGGCUUAACACAUGCAAGUCGAGCGGGCACUUCGGUGGUCAGCGGCAGACGGGUGAGUAACGCGUGGGAACAUACCUUUUGGUUCGGAACAACACAGGGAAACUUGUGCUAAUACCGGGAUAAGCCCUUACGGGGAAAGAUUUAUCGCCGAAAGAUUGGCCCGCGUCUGGAUUAGCUUGUUGGUGAGGUAACGGCUCACCAAGGCGACGAUCAGUAGCUGGUCNGAGAGGAUGAUCAGCCACAUUGGGACUGAGACACGGCCCAAACUCCUACGGGAGGCAGCAGUGGGGAAUAUUGGACAAUGGGCGCAAGCCUGAUCCAG